UCGGCGGCCCUCGGCGGCCCUGGGUCCGCGGGGACACCGUGCGGCCGCAGGGCGGGCGUCGCGCAGCUCUGCUGUGGAGGCGGCAGCCCCCUCGUCACAGAGUCACAGCACUCUCUGAGUUGGAAAGGGCAAAGGACACACAUGGAUCACCGCGUCCAGCUCUUAGCCCUACACAGCGCCAUCCCCAAGAGUCACCUCUGUGCUCGCGAUCGAAAUUCAUCUGGAGCUCUGUCAGUUUCCGCUGGGGAGGGCACCGGGGCUUGUCGGUGCGAGAAGCAGAACCGCUGCCGAGCAGGGAGUAGCUGCUCUUUGCCCACGCUGCUGCUCGACAGCCCGUGUGGGCAGCGAGGGCUUCUCGUCUGUGUCUGUAGGAGCCCGCCCAGCUAAAGCUGCACCGCGGUGAGGCGAAGGGCUUGGGACCAGUGAGCGUCAGGGACAGAUCUGGCCUUGUUCAGCCACGGUAAACAAGCAGUGCGUCUUUGCUGCGGUCUGGCUGCACAGUAGUGAGCCUAAGUAAAAACGUACAGUUGUUUUUUAAGCAAACUGUGUGUUUGUGCUAGUUCUAAAUCCCAAUUCUUGGGAUUUAUUACACAGUUCUGACUUCCGAAAUGCACGCUUUUCUGUCACUUCCUGUGUGAUGAGUUUGUUCCUUGUUUUCUUGUCCAUGUCAAGUAAAUACGCUUCACCUGGAGGCCCAAGAACAGAGUUGUCCAUUAGACAAAGAAAAACACAAGUUGGGACAGUUUGCAGUUUGGAAAACUCACACAAACAUGCUGCAGUGACACUGGAAACUUCUUCCAAGCAGAGAAAAGAAAGAAAUUACAAAAUAAAAAUAUUCUGAUGCCUCUGAAACAUAAUUACCUAAUAUGCCACUGAUAUCCAGACCACUCAAAAGAUGAGGAGAGUAGUGUACUACAUUGCUUGUGCUCACUGCAUGGCAUAAGCCUCUGUUCAUCAAGAUUUCUGUGGACAGACCCGUUCAAAUGUGAAGAAUUUGACUGAAGUAGAUGACAAAUUCUUAUAUUGUUAAGUUUCAGUAGUUUGUCAGGGUCAGGUGUAAUUGAAUCUGCAAAAUUUCUCAGCCUCUGGAGUAAUAAAGUACAUCAUCACUUGCUUAGAUUUUGAAAGUCCAACCUGUGUUAGGAGUCCAAACUUUACAGUUUAUCUAAGGAUACCUGGCAUUCUUGUUUGUCUUCUAUUAUAAUUAAACAUGUUUUAGUAUAAUGUAGCAAUAAACAGAAUUAGCCUAUGAAA
Taeniopygia guttata (zebra finch) is the source of this 1254-nucleotide non-coding RNA. The record is from RefSeq and is a predicted model, not a curated record. Lineage: Eukaryota; Metazoa; Chordata; Aves; Passeriformes; Estrildidae.